GAGAGGUUGAUGAAGUUAAGGAGCUCAUUGAGAUAGCUAGAGAGUAUGUCCUGGGAUUGAAGAUAGAAGUCAAAAGAAAGGAAACCAAAGGCGACACAGUUCGGCAGCAAGAGCUGGCGGCAUAUUUCACCAACUGCAAGCUUCAGAAGAUUCAUGCGAGGUUGGUGUUAAGAAGUGCCAUGACUAUAUGCUACAAGGGAAAAAAUUUCGCGACAGCAGCCAAUUUUGCUAGAAUGUUUCUGGAGAGCAGCCCCUCGGACACUCAAGCAAGUAAUGCGAGGCAGGUGCUAAAUGCUUGUGGCGAUAAGAAAGAUACAGAGCAGCUGAACUAUGAUUUCCGGAAUCCGUUUGUAGUUUGCGGGGCAACGUAUGUUCCAAUUUAUCGUGGCCAGAAGGACGUUCCUUGUCCGUACUGCAGGGCCCGUUUUGUGCCAGCGAUCGAAGGGCAGAUUUGUUCGGUUUGUGAGCUCGCGGUGGUGGGGUUGGAUGCAUCGGGUCUUUUCUGUUCUCCCUCACAGACAAGAUAAGGCAAGGUACUUACCUAUAAUCUGCCACCUUUAUUCACUUAGUUCAAGACUGUGGUGCUAUUUCUUGCUUGGUUUCUUAGUCAUUGUGUUAAGCUAUAGCAAUAAAAAUAGGUAUGCUGCUUUUGAAUAG
This 657-nucleotide unclassified non-coding RNA is filed under the name Hevea brasiliensis (rubber tree). Lineage: Eukaryota; Viridiplantae; Streptophyta; Magnoliopsida; Malpighiales; Euphorbiaceae. The record is from RNAcentral.